Lingula anatina is the source of this 522-nucleotide unclassified non-coding RNA. Lineage: Eukaryota; Metazoa; Brachiopoda; Lingulata; Lingulida; Lingulidae. The record is from RefSeq and is a predicted model, not a curated record.
GAGUUCCUCAAGGCAGCUGAAGAUGUCAAGAACUUGAAAUCCAAACCCACUGAUGCCGAGAUGCUGGAGUUGUAUGGGUUGUAUAAACAGGCAACUAUAGGAGAUGUGAACACAGAUAGACCUGGGAUGUUAGACUUCACAGGGAAGGCAAAGUGGGAUGCCUGGGAUGGGAGGAAAGGCAUGUCCAAGGAGGAUGCAAUGGCAUUUUAUAUAAGUGUGGCCAAUAACCUGGUGGAAAAAUACGGCAUGAUGUAAAUGGUGAGUGACCUGGUGACCUGUGCUGUGACCUGUGCAGUAACCUCAUUAUUGAACUGCAUCAAUAUCCAGUCUGUUACCCAUGAUUCCAUAGAAGAUGCCAGGACAGCCCUGAAGCUGUAUAAGAAAUAUCAGGAGCUCUCUAAUGAAGGAGGAGAUAAAAUCAGAGAAGCUCUUAAAGAGAUGUAUGAAAAAGGGCGCCAACUUUCAUGGAAAAUACCAGAAAGUGAACAGUGACUUUAGCUUUAAAUUAAUAAACGCUUUAUU